RNAcentral lists this ribosomal RNA (565 nucleotides) under uncultured Actinobacillus sp. Its description in RNAcentral is "bacterial SSU rRNA". It matches the Rfam family "Bacterial small subunit ribosomal RNA", at positions 99 to 660 of the family's 1533-position model. Lineage: Bacteria; Pseudomonadati; Pseudomonadota; Gammaproteobacteria; Pasteurellales; Pasteurellaceae. The record is from RNAcentral.
CGGACGGGUGAGUAAUGCUUGGGAAUCUGGCUUAUGGAGGGGGAUAACUACGGGAAACUGUAGCUAAUACCGCGUAAUAUCUUCGGAUUAAAGGGUGGGACUUUCGGGCCACCUGCCAUAAGAUGAGCCCAAGUGGGAUUAGGUAGUUGGUGGGGUAAAGGCCUACCAAGCCGACGAUCUCUAGCUGGUCUGAGAGGAUGACCAGCCACACUGGAACUGAGACACGGUCCAGACUCCUACGGGAGGCAGCAGUGGGGAAUAUUGCACAAUGGGGGGAACCCUGAUGCAGCCAUGCCGCGUGAAUGAAGAAGGCCUUCGGGUUGUAAAGUUCUUUCGGUGAUGAGGAAGGUGUUUGUUUUAAUAGAACAAGCAAUUGACGUUAGUCACAGAAGAAGCACCGGCUAACUCCGUGCCAGCAGCCGCGGUAAUACGGAGGGUGCGAGCGUUAAUCGGAAUGACUGGGCGUAAAGGGCACGCAGGCGGUGACUUAAGUGAGAUGUGAAAGCCCCGGGCUUAACCUGGGAAUUGCAUUUCAUACUGGGUCGCUAGAGUAUUUUAGGGAGGG